GAUGAACGCUGGCGGCGUGCCUAAUACAUGCAAGUCGAGCGAACAGACGAGGAGCUUGCUCCUCUGACGUUAGCGGCGGACGGGUGAGUAACACGUGGAUAACCUACCUAUAAGACUGGGAUAACUUCGGGAAACCGGAGCUAAUACCGGAUAAUAUAUUGAACCGCAUGGUUCAAUAGUGAAAGACGGUUUUGCUGUAACUUAUAGAUGGAUCCGCGCCGCAUUAGCUAGUUGGUAAGGUAACGGCUUACCAAGGCAACGAUGCGUAGCCGACCUGAGAGGGUGAUCGGCCACACUGGAACUGAGACACGGUCCAGACUCCUACGGGAGGCAGCAGUAGGGAAUCUUCCGCAAUGGGCAAAAGCCUGACGGGGCAACGCCGCGUGAGUGAUGAAGGUCUUCGGAUCGUAAAACUCUGUUAUUAGGGAAGAACAAAUGUGUAAGUAACUAUGCACGUCUUGACGGUACCUAAUCAGAAAGCCACGGCUAACUACGUG
RNAcentral lists this ribosomal RNA (497 nucleotides) under uncultured bacterium. RNAcentral describes it as "partial 16S ribosomal RNA". It matches the Rfam family "Bacterial small subunit ribosomal RNA", at positions 28 to 507 of the family's 1533-position model. The record is from RNAcentral.